AAUAGAUACCCAGGUAGUCCAUGCCGUAAACGAUGAGCGCUAGGUGUUGGGGACCUUCCGGUCCUCAGUGCCGCAGCAAACGCAUUAAGCGCUCCGCCUGGGGAGUACGACCGCAAGGUUGAAACUCAAAGGAAUUGACGGGGGCCCGCACAAGCGGUGGAGCAUGUGGCUUAAUUCGAAGCAACGCGAAGAACCUUACCAGGUCUUGACAUCCUGCGCUACACCUAGAGAUAGGUGGUUCCCUUCGGGGACGCAGAGACAGGUGGUGCAUGGCUGUCGUCAGCUCGUGUCGUGAGAUGUUGGGUUAAGUCCCGCAACGAGCGCAACCCUUGUCUUUAGUUGCCAUCAUUAAGUUGGGCACCCUAAAGAGACUGCCGGUGACAAACCGGAGGAAGGUGGGGAUGACGUCAAGUCAUCAUGCCCCUUAUGACCUGGGCUACACACGUGCUACAGUGGGCAGUACAACGAGAAGCAAAACCCGCGAGGGUAAGCGGAUCUCUUAAAGCUGUUCUCAGUUCGGA
Molecule: ribosomal RNA, 521 nt
Filed under: uncultured bacterium
Lineage: Bacteria
Description: bacterial SSU rRNA
Rfam family: Bacterial small subunit ribosomal RNA
Source: RNAcentral